Molecule: ribosomal RNA, 539 nt
Filed under: uncultured bacterium
Lineage: Bacteria
Description: bacterial SSU rRNA
Rfam family: Bacterial small subunit ribosomal RNA
Source: RNAcentral
AAUAGAUACCCGGGUAGUCCACGCCCUAAACGAUGUCUACUAGUUGUCGGGUCUUAAUUGACUUGGUAACGCAGCUAACGCGUGAAGUAGACCGCCUGGGGAGUACGGUCGCAAGAUUAAAACUCAAAGGAAUUGACGGGGACCCGCACAAGCGGUGGAUGAUGUGGAUUAAUUCGAUGCAACGCGAAAAACCUUACCUACCCUUGACAUGUCAGGAACCUCCGAGAGAUUGGAGGGUGCCCGAAAGGGAGCCUGAACACAGGUGCUGCAUGGCUGUCGUCAGCUCGUGUCGUGAGAUGUUGGGUUAAGUCCCGCAACGAGCGCAACCCUUGUCAUUAGUUGCUACGAAAGGGCACUCUAAUGAGACUGCCGGUGACAAACCGGAGGAAGGUGGGGAUGACGUCAAGUCCUCAUGGCCCUUAUGGGUAGGGCUUCACACGUCAUACAAUGGUACAUACAGAGGGCCGCCAACCCGCGAGGGGGAGCUAAUCCCAGAAAGUGUAUCGUAGUCCGGAUCGCAGUCUGCAACUCGACUGCGU